This 479-nucleotide ribosomal RNA is filed under the name uncultured bacterium. Its description in RNAcentral is "partial 16S ribosomal RNA". It matches the Rfam family "Bacterial small subunit ribosomal RNA", at positions 28 to 523 of the family's 1533-position model. The record is from RNAcentral.
GACGAACGCUGGCGGCGUGCUUAACACAUGCAAGUCCAACGUUAAGGCCCUUCGGGGUACACGAGUGUCGAACGGGGUUGGUAACACGUGGAUGAUUUGCCCUGCAGUUCGGGAUAAGCCUGGGCAACUGGGUGAAAUACCGGAUAGGACCACCGCCUGCAAGGGUGGUGGUGGAAAGCUGGUGCGGUGUGGGAUGGGCCCGCGGCCUAUCAGCCUGUUGGUGGGGGGAUGGCCUAUCAAGGCGACGACGGGUAGCCGGCCUGAGAGGGUGACCGGCCACACUGGGACUGAGAUACGGCCCAGAAUCCUACGGGAGGCAGCAGUGGGAAAUAUUGCACAAUGGGCGCAAGCCUGAUGCAGCGACGCCGCGUGAGGGAUGACGGCCUUCGGGUUGCAAACCUCUUUCAGCACCGACGAAGCGCAAGUGACGGUAGGUGCAGAAGAAGGACCGGCCAACUACGUGCCAGCCGCCGCCGUAA